This 612-nucleotide ribosomal RNA is filed under the name uncultured bacterium. RNAcentral's name for it is "bacterial SSU rRNA". It matches the Rfam family "Bacterial small subunit ribosomal RNA", at positions 338 to 951 of the family's 1533-position model. The record is from RNAcentral.
CCUACGGGAGGCAGCAGUAAGGAGUAUUGGUCAAUGGACGGAAGUCUGAACCAGCCAUGCCGCGUGCAGGAAGACGGCCCUACGGGUUGUAAACUGCUUUUGUACCGGAAUAAACCUUGAUACGUGUAUCAAGCUGAAUGUACGGUAAGAAUAAGGAUCGGCUAACUCCGUGCCAGCAGCCGCGGUAAUACGGAGGAUCCAAGCGUUAUCCGGAUUUAUUGGGUUUAAAGGGUGCGUAGGCGGCUUUUUAAGUCAGGGGUGAAAGACGGUAGCUCAACUAUCGCAGUGCCCUUGAUACUGAAGAGCUUGAAUGUACUUGAGGUAGGCGGAAUGUGACAAGUAGCGGUGAAAUGCAUAGAUAUGUCACAGAACACCAAUUGCGAAGGCAGCUUACUAAAGUAUGAUUGACGCUGAGGCACGAAAGCGUGGGGAUCAAACAGGAUUAGAUACCCUGGUAGUCCACGCCCUAAACGAUGAACACUCGAUGUUGGCGAUAUACGGUCAGCGUCUAAGCGAAAGCGUUAAGNGUUCCACCUGGGGAGUACGCCCGCAGGGUGAAACGUCAAGNGAGUGACGUGNGAGAGACGACGACGACGACGACGGAGGAGGAGG